Molecule: ribosomal RNA, 373 nt
Filed under: uncultured organism
Description: partial 16S ribosomal RNA
Rfam family: Bacterial small subunit ribosomal RNA
Source: RNAcentral
GUAGGUGGCAAGCGUUGUCCGGAAUUAUUGGGCGUAAAGCGCGCGCAGGCGGGGUCCUUUAAGUCUGAUGUGAAAGCCCACGGGCUCAACCGUGGAGGGUCAUUGGAAACUGGGACUUGAGUACAGAAGAGGAAAGCGGAAUUCCAAGUGUAGCGGUGAAAUGCGUAGAGAUUUGGAGGAACACCAGUGGCGAAGGCGGCUUUCUGGUCUGUAACUGACGCUGAGGCGCGAAAGCGUGGGGAGCAAACAGGAUUAGAUACCCUGGUAGUCCACGCCGUAAACGAUGAGUGCUAAGUGUUAGGGGGUUUCCGCCCCUUAGUGCUGCAGCUAACGCAUUAAGCACUCCGCCUGGGGAGUACGGCCGCAAAGGCUG